Molecule: long non-coding RNA, 549 nt
Organism: Rattus norvegicus (Norway rat)
Lineage: Eukaryota; Metazoa; Chordata; Mammalia; Rodentia; Muridae
Source: RefSeq, a predicted model, not a curated record
GGUUCUGAGAUUCUGUGGCUCUCCUCACAGAACCUGCUCACUACCACCCCUACCAACUGCCCUUGCCUUCAUCUCCAGACUCCGUGUAGCCACUUACAGGGAAGAGCUAGCUGCCACCGUUUAGAGCGGUCAGGGAUGGCUUCGGGGAGCAGGAGAACUGAACCCAGAGGACACUGAGCUCAGAGACGCAACAGGAAGAACUCAAAUACUCCUCUUUUGAAGAUCAUCACGGCCAUCUAUCUCCACGAGAAGAAUGAUAUUAGAAGUGACAACAGGAUGCACGCCUCAGCCACUAAGAUUGAGCGCUUAGCCAAUAGCGCUGUACAGUAGUAAAUUUCUUCCAUUUCAUGAAAUUUUCAUACCUUUAUCGUGGCCUCUCUGUAAUAUUUUCGGGAGGUUUCCAGAGAAGAGGAGGAGCUCAUUAAUUCCAGUUGCCUUAACUCAUCAAUUUUAGCUAACGCACGCCGAGCAAAUGUCUGUGUUGCAAUUAAAACAAAUUUAAUUCACAAUAAGUUGGCGAAGUGUGAUUAAAAAUGUAUAAAAGUGGUA